UGUUUUAUGUUGUUUUUGUUGCACCGUGCUGCAGGAUUUAUUUUUAUUUGACUUCAUUUUUCUAUAUAUUUCACAGAGCAGACACCAGAGUCCUGAAGAAUUCAUUUCCUGAUUUAAAUAAAAAAGCGUUUCUUUUUUUCACCACAUGGCAGCGUUUAGACGUCAUGGAGGAGAUUACUGAAAUCCCUCCUCCCUGCAGCAUCCCUCCUCCUCCUCCUCCUCCUCCUCCUCCUCCUCUUCCUCUUCUUUUUAAACCGGCAGCGAGGCGGACCGACUGUUUGUCAGCGGCAGGAAUCCUCUUCUCCUCCUCCAUCUUCCAGCUGGACCGCCGCUGCUUUUGGCGCCAUUUUCUCCUGUUUUUCUGUCCCGGAUCUGUUCGUCUUUAAACCUCCAGAAGAGCAGCUGCAGGAUUAAACCUGACAAAAAGCUGCUUCUGUUCUCCACGUGGCUUUGAUGGAGCCGCCGAGCUUCCCGUCCCGUUAAAGGAGAAGAAGAAGAAGAGGAAACAUGCUGUGGUCUCCAAGACUGUCGCUGUCCAACUUCCACGUGAAGCUGACGGCCAAAGGGCUCUUCAGGAACCUGCAGCUGCUGCCGGGAUGCAGGAAGAACACGGUGGUGUUCCACGCAGGUCUGGAUGUUUGUCCUCCAUCCGUCCGUCCGUCCAUGAAUCCAUGAAUCCAUCCUCAGAUCCACGCUGAGCCGGCUGAGCUGAAGCCACACCCAGACCUUCAUUCUCCUCCGUUUGUUGAGGAAAAAGUCUGAGAAGCUUCAGAAAACCAGCCGAGCCUCGUGCAUCUGCAGCCUCAGAACAUCUCUGACCUUCUGGAGGAGCUUCAGGAGGAACCAGAGAAGGAACCAUCUGGACUCUUCUGGUUCAUCUGAAGCUCCUCUGAUGAUCUGAGAAUCUGAUUUUCUCUCUUUUUUCCUCCAUCUUCCCUCCGACUGUUUUUAAUCUUUGAAUCAGAGGCGGCUUCACCCUCCUCCUCCUCCUCCUCUGUUUCCACGGCGAUGGCAGCCAUUGUUCCCUCCUCCUCCUCCUCCUCCUCCUCCUCCUCUGUUUCCACGGCGAUGCUACAAUGGAGCCGCUGUGAAUCGAGCUUCGUGCACGUGGAGGUUUUUUUUUAUUCUGCUGCGGUGAUGAAUCGCCGCUUUUAGCCCGAAAACCCCGAAGGGACGAAACCACGUGACGGCCAGAGACAACCAGGGACAGAAAAACAACAACAACAAAUAAAUAAAUAGUAAAUAAAUAGAUAAAUGUCAGAAAAAAAAGACAAAAACGGGACAAAAAUAGAAAUACAACAAAUAUCUGUAUUUUUAAAAUUAAUUGUUAAUCAGCAAAGAAAUACAUUAAUAAAAAAUAAUACAUGUCCACCGUAAAAAAUGAAAUAAAUAAAAAUAAAUGAAUAAAUAAAAAUAGGAAAUAAUGGAAAUAAUGUCCGCAACAAAAAUUAGUUUUUUUUAAAUUAGUUGUUAAUCGGCAAAAAAAAAUUGUGUACAUAUGGAUUAAACACAAGCAGAUAAACAAAAACAAAUACAUAAAAAGAUAAAAAAUGGAAUUAAUGUCAAUAACCAAAUAAAAAUAUUUUUUAUAAAUAAGUCUUCAGUCGGCAAAAAAAGAAAAAAGAAAAAUAAUUAUACGUGUCGACUAAAAAUAGCAGAAUAAAUUAAAAAAAGAGGACAAACAGAAAUAAUGUCAAAAAUCAGCAUUUACUCAAUUUCACUGUUAAUCAGCAGCAAAAUAAAUAAACAACAAAUAAAUAAUAAUAAAAUAAAAACCAAAAUAUAAUAUAAUAAAAUAUAAUAAUAGUAUUUUAUAUAUAUUCUCUUAAAUAUCUUGUACAAUAAUAUUCAUAAAUAAAAUUAAUUAACAGACGUUUGUCAUUAUUUUUUUUUAAAAUGUUAUUUUGUUAAAUAAAUAUAUCUAACAAAACCACAGAAAAAAAAAUAAAGGGCCAAAAUUGUCCACAUAAUAAAUCUCCUUUUAAAAAAAUAUAGACUAUAUGUAAUUAUUUUACAGUGUAGAAUGUAAAAAAAAAUGAAAAAUUGUACAAAAAGUACAGUAAAAUAAUGUCAAUAUUUUAUUGGGAAAAAUACAUUUUAUAUUAGUAAAAAUAAACAAUAAUAAAUCUAAAUGCUCCUGUCAGCUGCAGAUUAAAUCCGUGUUUGGAUGUUUUUGUUUCCUUCUGUGCUGAAUUAAAGCUGCUUUAGAGAUUUUUAAAACGACUUUUCUAAACCAGAUUAAACGAAAGUUAAUCAGAAAAUCUUCACCAGAAUCAGCUUCGACUCGUUUCCUUUCUUUGUCUCUGUUGCACAAAAGGAGACAGAAUUUUUUCACAGAAUCUGAUGAGAACAAACUUUAGGUUUUAUUUUUAGUGAUUUUUUUGGUAAUUUUGUUUUUUUGUUAUUUUGCUCAAAGAUUAAACUUUUGCCUCAAACUUCAGUGUGAAAAUAAAAACCAGCUGAAAGUGGGUCAGCAGUUCUCAAAAACUUAAUAUCUUGGGAAUUAUUUUAUAUUUUAAUCUGAAAUUUCACAAAUAUCUUCAUAAACAUCCACAUGUUAUGCUGUAAAAAUCUCAGGCUAAUCACAGGAAGUCGAGCAGAAUUUAUUCUGAAAAUAUGAAGAAAAAAACAAACAAAAAAUUAAAAACAGCCUGUAGUGUAGUUGAAACUCAGAUUUUUCGUCAUGUGACCGUUGCUCUCAGAUGAGUCAGUCUGGAUUUCUUUAUUGCACAAAAAUGUUCAGAAUUUUUUGUCUUUUACAGAAUCUCCUUAAACCAAAUUAUACAUUUUUGGUGAUUUUUUAAAGAAUAUUACGUAGAAUAGAGUGACUGCUGAUUUGUCCUGAUUUCAGCUCAGAUUUGGUUCAUUUUUCUGCUUCAUCAUCGGGUCACGGACGAGGAUUUUACCAUCUGAUUUGGUUUCCUCAGAUUUAAUCUCUUUGAUUCCUUUUUUUCUUCUUGGUUUAUUCUCUUUCAUUCCUCCUUUUUCUUCUUGAUUUAAUCUGCGAUCCGUCAAACGUCACGUGAACUCGGUUCCUCCAUCUGAGCGCCGCUGCACGUGUCCACAGCUCCACAGACCCACUUUCUGCUGUGAAUGUAGGUUACAGCGGGCUUUAGUCAGCGCAUGUGCACGCCCACACACACUCACGGUGCACGGGGGCUCGUGCACGCCCGCAGUGGUUCAGCUGAGGCCGUCCAGCGGUGCAGCUCUAAUCGGAUGUGAAGCUUCAGCAGCUCAUCUGUUCUCGCCCAUGGAAAGUAGUUUAGUAGGAAAAGAGGAACGAAAAUGACAAAUACAAGGUGAGAAAAAAGAAAACUGUGCAAAAAAAUAAAAAUAGGACGAGGAGGAAACAGAAAAUGAAGAAAAAGGUGAAGAGAAAUGGAUGAAGAGCAGCAGAAAGUCAAGAAGAGCAUGGAGGAAAAUGAAGAAACACAUGCAAGAAAAAUGACAAAGAAAAUGUAGAAAAUAAAUAAAAAUGCAUUGAAAAAUAAUAAUAAAUGCAAAGAAAUUAAUAAAGAAGCAGCCGAAAAUUAAUAAAUAAUAUGCAAAACAAGAAGAUUAAGAAAAAAACAAAAAAUGCAAUAAAAGGACUAAAAUUCAGCAAAAAUAAAUUAAAAAUAUACAGAAAAAAAUAUUAAAGAGAGAGCAGAAAAUGAAGAAAUAGAUGCAAAGAAUAAAAUCCAGAAACAGUAGAAAAUUAAUUUAAAAAUAUUCAGAAAAAUAAGAUUAAGCGGAAGCAGAAAAUGAAGAAAAGUAUGCUAAAAAAGCAAAAAGGCAUCGGAAAAUUAAUAAAUAUACACUGAAAAAAUAAUGAAGAGCAGAAAAUGAAGAAAACAAGGCAGUAAAAUAACUAAGAAAUAAAAUAACUAAAAAAAACUUAAACUAAAACUAAAAUAACCUUAAAAAAAUAUAGAAAAAUAUGCAAAAAAAAUAAAAAUAAGAUAAGGAAGAAACAGAAAAUUAAGAAAAAUUAUGCAAAAAGUUGGCAGAAAAAUAAAAAUACAGAAAAAUAAUCAAGAGAGAAGAGAAAAUUAAACAAAAAGACAGCAACAAAACAACGAAAAAUGUGCAAAAAUAAGAUGCUAAAAUGAGAUGAAGAGGAAAAUUAAGAAAAAUAAUGCAAAUAAAAAUCAGACACAAAGGCAGCAAAAAUUAAAUAAAAUUAAAAAUCUAUAAAAAAUAAAGACAGAGCACAGAAAACAAAAACAGAUGCAAAAAUAAAAUAAAGAGACAGCAGAGAAUUAAUAAAAUAAUAUGCAGAAAAGUAAGAUUAAGAGGAAAACGAACUGAAGAAGAUGACAAAAAAAUAAAAAAUAUGAUCAUAAAUAAUAUAAUAUGCACACCUAAAAAUAGGAAAAAUUAUACGAAAAAAUACAAAAGGCAGCAGAAAAUAAAUAAAAAUAUGCAGACAAAAACAAUGAAGAGAUAUCAGAAAAAUAAAUUAAAAACAAAGUAAUGAAUAAUAAUUGAGCAUCCAGUCAGUUGGUUUAGACGAGUUCAGAUCUGCAGAAAAUCACCGUCAGUCGUUGUUUGAGCUCCUCUUUAAAGAGCAGAUGAUUAUUCUCAGUCUUUAUUUUGGGCUUUUUGACUCGUCAUGAACUGAACUGAAGGUCGACUCGUUUGUCUGACCUCAGAGCUGCUGACCCAGGAACUAAAAACACAUUUUAAUGAGUAUUUUAGACAAUAUUUUCAACACAUUUCUUCCACCUGAAGGCAGAAUGUAAAUAUUAUAAUUCCUGCUUUCACAUAUUAGUUUUUAUUUAAUAUUUUCAGACCAAACAGCCUCUAAAUAAUCCCCUCUGGAGGCUGCAGAUGUUUGACUUCAUUUCGUUUCCUGCAGUUGAGCUGAAAACUCUCUGAUUUUUAAUAAAGCGACUGUUGGUUCCAGCUGAAUGGUUUCUGGUUUUUCUGCUUCACAGAGGAACCCAGAAUUUUUAGUUUUCACAGAAUUUAGUGACAAUAAACUUUAUGUUUUUUUUUAAAGUUUAUGGUUAAAUUAUUUGUUAUUAAGCUCAAAGACGGAACUUUUCAUUGAGACGUUGUUAUUAGUUGUUUUUUCAUAUUUCAGAGACUAUUUGAUCUAUUUGUCUAACAUUUCAGAUUCUGGAUCAGUGGCAUGAUGAGAAAUAGGAGCGAAAAUUUCAGAUUUUUAUCUUGAAUAUUUCCUCAGUUAUUUUUGAUCAAACAGACUCAGUUUAACAUGAGGAAAGACCUACAGAAAGUGGGUCGACAGGCAGAUUGAAACAUCUUUAUCUUAAAAAAUAUUUAAUAUUUCAGGCUAAAAAUGAUCAAAUAUUAAGUAUUAGAUUCAUAUAGUCUUCAUUUUCUACCAGAAACAACAUGAACAACAUUUUUUUAGUUGACUAAAUCAUGUUUGUGCAUAUUUUCCCCGUAUUUAAAUCCAGUUUGUGCAGAAACGACAGAGGAUUCAUGGUUUGUUGCUAGGUAACCGGAUGUUCUGGUGUGCAUGUAUCGGGGUCAGAUAGUGGACACCUAGUGGCACACUAGUUUCCGUGGUAACAGCCGUGUGCGUGGGAUCUGCAGAGAGCAGAGUCCUGAAUGUUUCUGCUGUAAAUGAGUCCAUCUCCACUUAUUCUGGACAUAUUUUGAGCAGUUAAUGGAGGAAUCUGAGGACCUUUACACCAUUAUUUCAUCACUUUGGACAGAUUUUGUGUUAUUUUGAACAAUAUAUGAACCAUUUUGGACAACCUUUGAAUGUUUCUGACCAUUUUUGAGAAUUCCAAACACAUUUUGAGCAGCUUAGGACAAAUUUUGAGUGAUUUUAGACAAGUUUUGGACAAUUUAUUUUAAUCUUUUUGAAAAUUAGAGAUCUCGAUGUUCACAGAGGUCUAGGUGUUCAUAGAGGUCUAGAUGUUCAUAGAGGUCCAGAUGUUCACAGAGGUCUUGAUGCUCAUAGAGGUCUAGGUGUUCACAGAGGUCUAGGUGUUCACAGAGGUCUAGGUGUUCACAGGGGUCUAGAUGCUCAUAGAGGUCUAGGUGUUCACAGAGGUCUAGAUGCUCAUAGAGGUCUAGGUGUUCAUAGAGGUCUAGAUGUUCAUAGAGGUCUAGGUGUUCAUAGAGGUCUAGGUGUUCACAGAGGUCUAGAUGUUCACAGAGGUCUAGAUGUUCAUAGAGGUGUAGAUGUUCAUAGAGGUGUAGGUGUUCAUAGAGGUCUAGGUGUUCACAGAGGUCUAGAUGUUCAUAGAGGUCUAGAUGUUCAUAGAGGUCUAGAUGUUCACAGAGGUCUAGAUGUUCACAGAGGUCUAGGUGUUCAUAGAGGUCUAGAUGUUCACAGAGGUCUAGAUGUUCACAGAGGUCUAGAUGUUCACAGAGGUCUAGAUGUUCACAGAGGUCUAGAUGUUCAUAGAGGUGUAGAUGUUCAUAGAGGUGUAGGUGUUCAUAGAGGUCUAGGUGUUCAUAGAGGUGUAGGUGUUCACAGAGGUCUAGAUGUUCAUAGAGGUCUAGGUGUUCACAGAG
Molecule: long non-coding RNA, 6477 nt
Organism: Acanthochromis polyacanthus (spiny chromis)
Lineage: Eukaryota; Metazoa; Chordata; Actinopteri; Pomacentridae
Exons: 6
Source: RefSeq, a predicted model, not a curated record